RNAcentral lists this ribosomal RNA (524 nucleotides) under uncultured bacterium. Its description in RNAcentral is "bacterial SSU rRNA". It matches the Rfam family "Bacterial small subunit ribosomal RNA", at positions 791 to 1321 of the family's 1533-position model. The record is from RNAcentral.
UAGUCCACGCCGUAAACGAUGGUUACUAGCUGUUCGGUACUUGUACUGAGUGGCUAAGCGAAAGUGAUAAGUAACCCACCUGGGGAGUACGUUCGCAAGAAUGAAACUCAAAGGAAUUGACGGGGGCCCGCACAAGCGGUGGAGCAUGUGGUUUAAUUCGAUGAUACGCGAGGAACCUUACCAGGGCUUAAAUGUAGUGGGACAGGUGUGGAAACACGCCCUUCUUCGGACUCAUUACAAGGUGCUGCAUGGUUGUCGUCAGCUCGUGCCGUGAGGUGUCAGGUUAAGUCCUAUAACGAGCGCAACCCCUGUUGUUAGUUGCCAGCACAUUAUGGUGGGAACUCUAACAAGACUGCCGGUGCAAACCGUGAGGAAGGUGGGGAUGACGUCAAAUCAUCACGGCCCUUACGUCCUGGGCUACACACGUGCUACAAUGGCCGGUACAGAGGGCAGCCACUACGCGAGUAGGAGCGAAUCCUUAAAACCGGUCUCAGUUCGGAUCGGAGUCUGCAACUCGACUCCGU